GUCGUGAGAUGUUGGGUUAAGUCCCGCAACGAGCGCAACCCCUGUUCUUAGUUGCCAGCGCGUAAUGGCGGGGACUCUAGGAAGACUGCCGGUGCCAAACCGGAGGAAGGUGGGGACGACGUCAAGUCAUCAUGGUCCUUACGUCUAGGGCUACACACGUGCUACAAUGGGCGGGACAGAGGGGGCCGAGGCAGCAAUGCCAAGGCAAUCCCAAAACCCGUCCUCAGUUCGGAUUGUCGUCUGCAACUCGACGGCAUGAAGCUGGAAUCGCUAGUAAUCGUGGAUCAGCAUCGCCACGGUGAAUAUGUUCCCGGGCCUUGUACACACCGCCCGUCACGUCAUGAAAGCUGGCAACACCCGAAGCCGGUGGGCCAACCGCAAGGAGGCAGCCGUCGAAGGUGGGGUCGGUGAUUGGGACGAAGUCGUAACAAGGUAGCCGUACCGGAAGGUGCGGCUGGAUCACCUCCUUUCUAGGGAGAUCCGAGUCCCGACUCUUCGGUGGGGUCGGGGCGUUGAAGGCUCCCAGGUUGAUCGCACGAUCAUCAGUCGCCCUCGUCAGGUGGGUGACGCUCGAUCGGUCCCGCAAGGGGCCGGCCGGGGAGAUCGAACGCGACCUGGCAACAACACCGACCCAUUCGUGCAUUCCGAUCGGACGUUCCUGUCACUCUUCAACGGCCAAGGGUGCAGCCGCCGGUGGCGAUCGACAUGUCGACCGCUUCUGGUCGGCACAGCCUCGGCGGGCGUUUAGCUCAGCUGGUUAGAGCACUGCCCUGAUAAGGCAGAGGUCUCUGGUUCGAGUCCAGAAACGCCCACCAUCCACCCCGGCAAGGGGACGUAGCUCAGUUGGCAGAGCAUCUCCUUUGCAAGGAGAGGGUCAGGAGUUCGAGUCUCCUCGUCUCCACCAACCAGCUCCGGGACCACGCAGCGGAGGAUCCGAUCCUGCGCAAGGGCCGCACUCACCGAUAACUGAAGACUCCGGGUGGACCCCGGGACGACCGAACUCCAAGGCGCUGUCGAGACGGCUUCGAGGCAGGUCCUCGAGCCGUCUUCGUGUGUCCACCACCAUCGUUCUCCUGAUCCGUGACCUCCGAUGAGGAGCUCACCGACCAGCGGACCGCUGGAUCACCGGCCCGGCAACGGACCGGUCGCCCGCCGCGCGGGCAGCACCUUGACAACUGGAAUUGUUGUUCGGCAGUAAAUCGAUCUUCGAUUUCGCCGAGUCAAGACAAGGAUACGAUCCCGAUCGAUCCCGUCCGCGACUGGCCGCCAGGUCAGAUGCUGGAGGGGGUCAAGCUACAAAGGGCACGGGGUGGAUGCCUUGGCGCCAAGAGCCGAUGAAGGACGUGGCAGGCUGCGUAAAGCUUCGGGGAGUCGCGAGCAGACGUUGAUCCGGAGAUGU
RNAcentral lists this small RNA (1399 nucleotides) under uncultured Gemmatimonas sp. RNAcentral describes it as "bacterial SSU rRNA". The stretch from base 1 to 470 matches the Rfam family "Bacterial small subunit ribosomal RNA", at positions 1064 to 1533 of the family's 1533-position model. The record is from RNAcentral. Lineage: Bacteria; Pseudomonadati; Gemmatimonadota; Gemmatimonadia; Gemmatimonadales; Gemmatimonadaceae.